This is a long non-coding RNA of Hemicordylus capensis (graceful crag lizard), 551 nucleotides long. RefSeq lists it as uncharacterized. The record is from RefSeq and is a predicted model, not a curated record. The transcript has 2 exons. Lineage: Eukaryota; Metazoa; Chordata; Lepidosauria; Squamata; Cordylidae.
CCCACCUGCAGGGCAGUUCCUUGGGCUUCAAAAGGUGAUUGAAGGAGGACUGGAGCUGCUGCCCACCAUCACAGAGUCCCUGGGUAGGGAUUGAACCUGGAGCUUCAUAUUCUAUUAAACAUCCCUGGAGUACUGUACUUAUUAUAGCACACUAUAGUAAUAGAAAGUUUUUAAAGAGCCUAAUAAUCACAAAUAUUAUUUCAAAGAGAAAUGGCUAGACAAACAGAACCACUGUUUAACUCUGUAGCCCAUAAUUAUCUGCAACCAUUGUGCAUGUCGCCUUUAUGCAGACAUGGAGAGCAGUAAAAAUGACAAACUAUUUUUUAUAGCAGGAAUUUAUGUAUGUGUGAUGCUACUGAGUGAUGGAAAUGGUCCCUGACAUCCGAGAUAGAAACCUUUCAUUCAAAAGCAAUUGCAAUUGAAGCUCUUCAGCAUUAGCACUGGACUAGCAGCAAAUACAACUGACGCCAGUCAUCUGAUCAGUGCCAUCUCUGAAUGAGGGCUUUUACUUGCAGUGUACUUUUGUUCAAUAAAUACAAAUUCGUUGCUCA